This 480-nucleotide ribosomal RNA is filed under the name Cymatopus malayensis. Its description in RNAcentral is "partial 16S ribosomal RNA". It matches the Rfam family "Bacterial large subunit ribosomal RNA", at positions 1916 to 2603 of the family's 2925-position model. The record is from RNAcentral. Lineage: Eukaryota; Metazoa; Arthropoda; Insecta; Diptera; Dolichopodidae.
UGAUGAAUUAAAUGGCCGCAGUAUUUUAACUGUGCAAAGGUAGCAUAAUCAUUAGUCUUUUAAUUGGAGGCUGGCAUGAAUGAUUGGACGAGGCAUCUGCUGUCUCAGAAAAAAUUUUUUUUUGAAUUUUAUUUUUCAGUAAAAAAGCUGAAAUUUUUUUUAAAGACGAGAAGACCCUAUAGAUCUUUAUAAUUUUUUAUAUUGUUUUAAAAUAAUAAAAUUUUUGUUUCAAUAUUCUAAAUUAUUUUGUUGGGGUGACAUUAAGAUUUUAUAAACUCUUAUUAAUUUAUACAUUAAUAUAUGGCUUUUUGAUCCUUUAUUAUGGAUUAAAAAAUUAAGUUACCUUAGGGAUAACAGCGUAAUUUCUUUGGAGAGUUCACAUCGAUAAAGAAGUUUGCGACCUCGAUGUUGGAUUAAGAUUAAUUUUGGGGGUAGAAUUUCAAAGUAUUAAGUCUGUUCGACUUUUAAUUUCUUACAUGA